GAGACGCUGGCGGCGUGCCUAACACAUGCAAGUCGAGCGAAUGAAGUUCCUUCGGGAACGGAUUUAGCGGCGGACGGGUGAGUAACACGUGGGCAACCUACCUCAUAGAGGGGAAUAGCCUUCCGAAAGGGAGAUUAAUACCGCAUAAGAUUGUAGUACCCGCAUGGUACAGCAAUUAAAGGAGCAAUCCGCUAUGAGAUGGGCCCGCGGCGCAUUAGCUAGUUGGUGAGGUAACGGCUCACCAAGGCGACGAUGCGUAGCCGGCCUGAGAGGGUGAUCGGCCACAUUGGGACUGAGACACGGCCCAGACUCCUACGGGAGGCAGCAGUGGGGAAUAUUGCACAAUGGGGGAAACCCUGAUGCAGCAACGCCGCGUGAGUGAUGACGGCCUUCGGAUUGUAAAGCUCUCCGUCUUCAGGGACGAUAAUGACGGUACCUGAGGAGGAAGCCACGGCUAACUACGUG
Molecule: ribosomal RNA, 465 nt
Filed under: uncultured bacterium
Lineage: Bacteria
Description: bacterial SSU rRNA
Rfam family: Bacterial small subunit ribosomal RNA
Source: RNAcentral